RNAcentral lists this ribosomal RNA (500 nucleotides) under uncultured bacterium. RNAcentral's name for it is "partial 16S ribosomal RNA". It matches the Rfam family "Bacterial small subunit ribosomal RNA", at positions 30 to 523 of the family's 1533-position model. The record is from RNAcentral.
AUUGAACGCUGGCGGAAUGCUUUACACAUGCAAGUCGAACGGCAGCACGGACUUCGGUCUGGUGGCGAGUGGCGAACGGGUGAGUAAUGUAUCGGAACGUGCCCAGUCGUGGGGGAUAACGUAGUGAAAAUUACGCUAAUACCGCAUACGAUCUAUGGAUGAAAGCGGGGGAUCGCAAGACCUCGCGCGAUUGGAGCGGCCGAUAUCAGAUUAGGUAGUUGGUGGGGUAAAGGCCCACCAAGCCAAAGAUCUGUAGCUGGUCUGAGAGGACGAACAGCCACAAUGGAACUGAGACACGGUCCAGACUCCUACGGGAGGCAGCAGUGGGGAAUUUUGGACAAUGGGCGAAAGCCUGAUCCAGCCAUUCCGCGUGCAGGAUGAAGGCCCUCGGGUUGUAAACUGCUUUUGUACAGAACGAAAAGGUUUCUACUAAUACUAGGAGCUCAUGACGGUACUGUAAGAAUAAGCACCGGCUAACUACGUGCCAGCCGCCGCCGUAA